This 528-nucleotide ribosomal RNA is filed under the name uncultured bacterium. RNAcentral's name for it is "bacterial SSU rRNA". It matches the Rfam family "Bacterial small subunit ribosomal RNA", at positions 777 to 1301 of the family's 1533-position model. The record is from RNAcentral.
AAUAGAUACCCGGGUAGUCCACGCCCUAAACGAUGUCAACUAGUUGUUCGGUGAGGAGACUCAUUGAGUAACGCAGCUAACGCGUGAAGUUGACCGCCUGGGGAGUACGGCCGCAAGGUUAAAACUCAAAGGAAUUGACGGGGACCCGCACAAGCGGUGGAUGAUGUGGAUUAAUUCGAUGCAACGCGAAAAACCUUAACCUACCCUUGACAUGCCAGGAACUUGCCAGAGAUGGCUUGGUGCUCGAAAGAGAGCCUGGACACAGGUGCUGCAUGGCUGUCGUCAGCUCGUGUCGUGAGAUGUUGGGUUAAGUCCCGCAACGAGCGCAACCCUUGUCAUUAGUUGCCAUCAUUAAGUUGGGCACUCUAAUGAGACUGCCGGUGACAAACCGGAGGAAGGUGGGGAUGACGUCAAGUCCUCAUGGCCCUUAUGGGUAGGGCUUCACACGUCAUACAAUGGUCGGUACAGAGGGUUGCCAAGCCGCGAGGUGGAGCCAAUCCCAGGAAAGCCGAUCGUAGUCCGGAUUGG